Molecule: ribosomal RNA, 311 nt
Filed under: uncultured bacterium
Lineage: Bacteria
Description: bacterial SSU rRNA
Rfam family: Bacterial small subunit ribosomal RNA
Source: RNAcentral
GACGAACGCUGGCGGCGCGCCUAACACAUGCAAGUCGAACGAGCGAGAGAGAGCUUACUUUCUCAAGCGAGUGGCGAACGGGUGAGUAACGCGUGAGGAACCUGCCUCAAAGAGGGGGACAACAGUUGGAAACGACUGCUAAUACCGCAUAAGCCCACAGGUCGGCAUCGACCAGAGGGAAAAGGAGCAAUCCGCUUUGAGAUGGCCUCGCGUCCGAUUAGCUAGUUGGUGGGGUAACGGCUCACCAAGGCGACGAUCAGUAGCCGACCUGAGAGGGUGAUCGGCCACAUUGGGACUGAGACACGGCCCAG